CGCAGGCUGAAACUCGCCUGCGUGAAGUUGGAAUUGCUAGUAAUCGCGGAUCAGCAUGCCGCGGUGAAUACGUUCCCGGGCCUUGUACACACCGCCCGUCACACCAUGGGAGCCGGUAAUACCCGAAGCCAGUAGUCUAACCGCAAGGGGGACGCUGUCGAAGGUAGGAUUGGCGACUGGGGUGAAGUCGUAACAAGGUAUC
RNAcentral lists this ribosomal RNA (202 nucleotides) under uncultured bacterium. Its description in RNAcentral is "partial 16S ribosomal RNA". It matches the Rfam family "Bacterial small subunit ribosomal RNA", at positions 1299 to 1500 of the family's 1533-position model. The record is from RNAcentral.